Molecule: long non-coding RNA, 575 nt
Organism: Homo sapiens (human)
Lineage: Eukaryota; Metazoa; Chordata; Mammalia; Primates; Hominidae
Gene: OSBPL10-AS1
Product: OSBPL10 antisense RNA 1
Source: Ensembl
ACAUUUACCACACUUGGCUCUUAUAGACUGGAAGGACAGAUGCUCUUCCUGAGCAAAGGGGCCGACCUGCAGAAAGAAAGUCAGCUCACAGGAAGCAGGACCAAAAUGUUUUGCUCGCCGCUGUGGCUUUAUCAACAAAAAUACUAUCUGACACUGACUUAUUCGUUGCAUAAGUAAAGGAAAUAAACAGCUGGCUUUCCCCUAUGGAAAUGAGGAACUGCUGAAGAUUCUGAGGAGGCUGGGUAACAGAACUCAGGCCCUAGGAGAUGAAUGGUUGGUUAACCCUGCGUGCACUCGAGAAAGGAACCCAGCAGCCGCGUCCUGCCUUUCCUGUUUUGCGCACCAUCCUCCUAGUCACCCAGGCUUGAGACCUGCAAGUUCCCGGACACCUCCCAUCUAGAGAGCCACCUGGCCCACCAUCCCUUCCUUUCCUCAUCUUUGCUGCUACCACACCCUAGGUUUUGACCACAUAAAUGUAGGGCCCUGCCAGCCUCCCAGCUCAUCCUUCUGCUCCAGACGCCUCCUCUUAACACUGUCUUGUACCACACCACCAGAGUGUUCUUCCCCAGACACCC